This 253-nucleotide ribosomal RNA is filed under the name uncultured bacterium. RNAcentral's name for it is "partial 16S ribosomal RNA". It matches the Rfam family "Bacterial small subunit ribosomal RNA", at positions 524 to 776 of the family's 1533-position model. The record is from RNAcentral.
UACGAAGGGGGCUAGCGUUGCUCGGAAUCACUGGGCGUAAAGCGCACGUAGGCGGAUCUUUAAGUCAGGGGUGAAAUCCCAAGGCUCAACCUUGGAACUGCCUUUGAUACUGGGGAUCUCGAGUCCGGAAGAGGUUGGUGGAACUGCGAGUGUAGAGGUGAAGUUCGUAGAUAUUCGCAAGAACACCAGUGGCGAAGGCGGCCAACUGGUCCGGUACUGACGCUGAGGUGCGAAAGCGUGGGGAGCAAACAGG